GCCGGGCGAGGUGGCGGGCGCCUGUAGUCCCAGCUACUGGGAGGCUGAGGCAGGAGAAUGGCAUAAACCCGGGCGGAGCUUGCAGUGAGCUGAGAUCCGGCCACUGCACUCAGCCCGGGAGACAGAGCCAGACUCCAUCUCAAAAAAAAAAAAAAGAGGUUCACCAUGGCAAUGCAAAAAAAAAUUUUUUUUUUUUUUCUUGAGACGGAGUCUCACUCUGUGUCGCCCGGGCUGGAGUGCAGUGGCAGGAUCUCAGCUCACUCCAAGCUCCGCCUCCUGGGUUCAUGCCAUUCUCCUGCCUC
Molecule: signal recognition particle RNA, 302 nt
Filed under: Macaca fascicularis (crab-eating macaque)
Lineage: Eukaryota; Metazoa; Chordata; Mammalia; Primates; Cercopithecidae
Description: Metazoan signal recognition particle RNA (ENSMFAG00000047235.1)
Rfam family: Metazoan signal recognition particle RNA
About the family: The signal recognition particle (SRP) is a universally conserved ribonucleoprotein. It is involved in the co-translational targeting of proteins to membranes.
Source: RNAcentral